CAGCAGCCGCGGGAAUACAGAGGGUGCGAGCGUUAAUCGGAUUUACUGGGCGUAAAGCGUGCGUAGGCGGCUUCUUAAGUCGGAUGUGAAAUCCCUGAGCUUAACUUAGGAAUUGCAUUCGAUACUGGGAAGCUAGAGUAUGGGAGAGGAUGGUAGAAUUCCAGGUGUAGCGGUGAAAUGCGUAGAGAUCUGGAGGAAUACCGAUGGCGAAGGCAGCCAUCUGGCCUAAUACUGACGCUGAGGUACGAAAGCAUGGGGAGCAAACAGGAUUAGAUACCCGCGUAGUCCCUGUCUCUUAUCC
This 301-nucleotide ribosomal RNA is filed under the name uncultured bacterium. Its description in RNAcentral is "partial 16S ribosomal RNA". It matches the Rfam family "Bacterial small subunit ribosomal RNA", at positions 509 to 809 of the family's 1533-position model. The record is from RNAcentral.